This 68-nucleotide transfer RNA is filed under the name Aethomys nyikae (Nyika rock rat). RNAcentral describes it as "tRNA-Val". It matches the Rfam family "tRNA". From Rfam's summary of the family: Transfer RNA (tRNA) molecules are approximately 80 nucleotides in length. The record is from RNAcentral. Lineage: Eukaryota; Metazoa; Chordata; Mammalia; Rodentia; Muridae.
CACAGUGUAGCUUAAUGUAAAGCAUCUGGCCUACACCCAGAAGACUUCAUUAUUUAUGAACACUUUGA